This 110-nucleotide small nuclear RNA is filed under the name Myotis lucifugus (little brown bat). RNAcentral describes it as "U2 spliceosomal RNA (ENSMLUG00000021575.1)". It matches the Rfam family "U2 spliceosomal RNA". From Rfam's summary of the family: U2 is a small nuclear RNA (snRNA) component of the spliceosome (involved in pre-mRNA splicing). Complementary binding between U2 snRNA (in an area lying towards the 5' end but 3' to hairpin I) and the branchpoint sequence (BPS) of the intron results the bulging out of an unpaired adenosine, on the BPS, which initiates a nucleophilic attack at the intronic 5' splice site, thus starting the first of two transesterification reactions that mediate splicing. The record is from RNAcentral. Lineage: Eukaryota; Metazoa; Chordata; Mammalia; Chiroptera; Vespertilionidae.
AUCACUUCUCAGACUUUUGGCUAAGAUCAAGUGUAGGUAUCUGUUCUUGUCAGUUUAACAUUAAAGCUACUAGCUGGUACAGAGAACUAGGGUGUGCCCCUGGACACUUC